This 217-nucleotide unclassified non-coding RNA is filed under the name Glomeraceae sp. RNAcentral describes it as "partial contains 5.8S ribosomal RNA and internal transcribed spacer 2". The stretch from base 1 to 71 matches the Rfam family "5.8S ribosomal RNA", at positions 84 to 154 of the family's 154-position model. Lineage: Eukaryota; Fungi; Glomeromycota; Glomeromycetes; Glomerales; Glomeraceae. The record is from RNAcentral.
GUGAAUCAUCAAAUUUUUGAACGCAAAUUGCGCUUCCUGGCAUCCCGGGAAGUAUGCCUGUUUGAGGGUCAGUAUUAAUAAAAAAUGGGUUUAGUUACAAAUUGUGACGUUUCCGGAGUUUGGGAUAUUUUAACAUUUUUGGUUAAGAGGUUUAAAAGUAACCUUUUUUGCGAAUUUUUAAAGUAACAUAAAUUUUUUUAUUGUUUUAUUCUAAAUG